AUAUUGGGCAAUGCCCGCAAGGGUGACCCGGCAACGCCGCGUGGAGGAUGAAUGUCGUAAGAUUGUAAACUCCUGUUAGAGGGGAAGAAUAGUACCGGUUGGACCGGUAUAUGACUGUACCCUCAGAGAAAGCCCCGGCUAACUACGUGCCAGCAGCCGCGGUAAUACGUAGGGGGCAAGCGUUUUCCGGAUUUACUGGGUGUAAAGGGCGCGCAGGCUGGAUAAAAAGUCAGUGGUGAAAUCCUACAGCUUAACUGUAGAACUGCAUUUGAUACUUUUAUUCUUGAGUUCGGGAGAGAGAGACGGAGUUCCAGGUGUAGUGGUGAAAUACGUAGAUAUCUGGAAGAACACCAGUUGCGAAGGCGGUCUCUUGGUCCGACACUGACGCUGAGGCGCGAAAGCGUGGGGAGCAAACA
This 416-nucleotide ribosomal RNA is filed under the name uncultured bacterium. RNAcentral's name for it is "bacterial SSU rRNA". It matches the Rfam family "Bacterial small subunit ribosomal RNA", at positions 361 to 774 of the family's 1533-position model. The record is from RNAcentral.